GCUCUGGUGGCUCAAUCGGAUAGAGCGUUAGAUAUCUAAUCCAAAGGUUGCGGGUUCGCGUCCCGCCCAGAGUA
Molecule: transfer RNA, 74 nt
Filed under: Perkinsus olseni
Lineage: Eukaryota; Perkinsozoa; Perkinsida; Perkinsidae
Rfam family: tRNA
About the family: Transfer RNA (tRNA) molecules are approximately 80 nucleotides in length.
Source: Rfam by way of RNAcentral